RNAcentral lists this ribosomal RNA (301 nucleotides) under uncultured bacterium. Its description in RNAcentral is "partial 16S ribosomal RNA". It matches the Rfam family "Bacterial small subunit ribosomal RNA", at positions 509 to 807 of the family's 1533-position model. The record is from RNAcentral.
CAGUAGCCGCGGUAAUACGUAGGUGGCAAGCGUUGUCCGGAAUUAUUGGGCGUAAAGGGCUCGCAGGCGGUUUCUUAAGUCUGAUGUGAAAGCCCCCGGCUCAACCGGGGAGGGUCAUUGGAAACUGGGAAACUUGAGUGCAGAAGAGGAGAGUGGAAUUCCACGUGUAGCGGUGAAAUGCGUAGAGAUGUGGAGGAACACCAGUGGCGAAGGCGACUCUCUGGUCUGCAACUGACGCUGAGGAGCGAAAGCGUGGGGAGCGAACAGGAUUAGAUACCCCCGUAGUCCCUGUCUCUUAUAC